Molecule: RNA transcript, 1552 nt
Organism: Tarenaya hassleriana
Lineage: Eukaryota; Viridiplantae; Streptophyta; Magnoliopsida; Brassicales; Cleomaceae
Gene name: protein REVEILLE 8-like
Exons: 11
Source: RefSeq, a predicted model, not a curated record
UUUACAUCACCCGCUUCCCCGCCAUGUGGAUUUCGGCAGUUUCUCUCUCUUCCCUAUCUCUCUCUAAAAACUGUCUCUACGCUCUCUACUCCGAUGAACUCGUCGCCGCCUGCGAAUCCGUCGGCCAGUCAAGCACCACCGCCGACGACUUCCACGGACGUUGCGGAGGAAGGUUCGACGAAGAAGGUGAGGAAACCUUACACGAUCACGAAGUCCAGGGAGAGCUGGACUGAGGAAGAGCACGACAAGUUUCUCGAAGCGCUUCAACUGUUUGACCGUGACUGGAAAAAAAUCGAAGACUUUGUGGGUUCAAAGACUGUGAUUCAGAUUAGGAGCCAUGCCCAAAAAUAUUUUUUGAAGGUCCAGAAAAAUGGGACGGUAGCCCAUGUGCCACCACCUAGGCCUAAACGCAAAGCAGCUCAUCCGUAUCCUCAAAAGGCGUCAAAAAAUGCUCAAGUGCUGCUCCAUGUUUCCUCGCCUCUUCCUUCUCCAAGUAGCACUCUUCUUGGGUAUGCUCCAUUGGAUGGUUCCUCUGCACUGAUAAACAUUGGAUCAACCAGAGUUGUCUUACCACAAGAUGAACUAGCUACACUUCGUGGAGCUGAAGGCAUGGGAAGCAUAAGCAGAACACUAUCAAGUUCUAAGAUUCUAAUACAAGGGAAACAAGCUCCCGUGCUUCACGGUGUUCCUGAUUUUGCUGAAGUUUAUAACUUCAUUGGGAGUGUCUUUGAUCCAGAAACCAAAGGCCACGUGAGAAAACUCAAGGAAAUGGAUCCCAUAAAUUUUGAGACCCUUCAGGCUAUCAGCUUUUGGUUGUUGUUUCCCGUGAGUCAGUUCUGCGUACUGCAUGCUUGUUGCUAGUUACAAUAUUACCAGUAAAAGUUCCUUGGUGGGAGACCAUUAUCCAUAGUCUAUACGUGCGCGCACGAGUUGCAUUUUAAUGUUAUGCCCUCCCACCAGCUGUAUGCCCUAUGUUGUGCUCUUUCCAGUCAGCCGGAGGUUCUACUGUUGAUGAGAAACCUAGCAAUUAACUUGUCAAGCCCUGACUUUGAACCUGUUUCCAACUCCUUUGAUGCUGCAGAGGAAGGUCCUAUUGUCAUAUGAAGUGAACACCAAGUUGGUAGCUGGUAGCGCAGAAUCCAUGGUCAAGACAACCGAUGUAUCGUCUUGAGGACUUAUCGCGCACAACUGUCUAUCAAGGUUUGUUGUUGAAGGAGCAGCACAUUACAGGACCUUGCAAGCCCCUGUAGCGGCAUAGCCAGGAGUAGGGUAACUUUUAGGUAAGAGGAAAGAGUAAGAAGAGGCUGUUGUUUCCCAUCUGAAUGAAAAGCUCCUGUACAAAAAUUUCUUCUUCCGCUCUCUUUCUAGGUUGUGUAUUUAUUUGGUCUGUCUGUCUGUCAUGUUUGUUAUCUGUAGUUGCUUCAUCUGAUUGUUUUUGGGCUUAUGAAUUUCUAACCAAGCAUGUAACCAGGAAGAGAACAAAGGAAAGAUACCAAUAAACCGCGAGUGAGUGAACUCCAUGUAACGUGUAUCAGCCCUUUUCUGUUUGCUC